CUACGUAGGGUGCGAGCGUUGUCCGGAAUUACUGGGCGUAAAGAGCUCGUAGGUGGUUUGUCGCGUCGUCUGUGAAAUUCCGGGGCUUAACUCCGGGCGUGCAGGCGAUACGGGCAUAACUUGAGUACUGUAGGGGAGACUGGAAUUCCUGGUGUAGCGGUGAAAUACGCAGAUAUCAGGAGGAACACCGGUGGCGAAGGGGGGUCUCUGGGCAGUAACUGACGCCGAGGAGCGAAAGCAUGGGUAGCGAACAGGAUUAGAUACCCUGGUAGUCCAUGCCGUAAACGGUGGGCGCUAGGUGUAGGGGUCUUCCACGACUUCUGUGCCGUAGCUAACGCAUUAAGCGCCCCGCCUGGGGAGUACGGCCGCAAGGCUAAAACUCAAAUGAAUUGACGGGG
RNAcentral lists this ribosomal RNA (398 nucleotides) under uncultured bacterium. RNAcentral's name for it is "partial 16S ribosomal RNA". It matches the Rfam family "Bacterial small subunit ribosomal RNA", at positions 523 to 918 of the family's 1533-position model. The record is from RNAcentral.